This 380-nucleotide unclassified non-coding RNA is filed under the name fungal sp. RNAcentral describes it as "partial internal transcribed spacer region". The stretch from base 1 to 46 matches the Rfam family "Eukaryotic small subunit ribosomal RNA", at positions 1786 to 1831 of the family's 1831-position model. The record is from RNAcentral. Lineage: Eukaryota; Fungi.
AAGUCGUAACAAGGUUUCCGUAGGUGAACCUGCGGAAGGAUCAUUAACACGUAUCCAAACGUUAAAACAACCCUGUGAACCUUCAGCGUGUUCUUGCAGGACAUCAAAACAGCAAUCCCGAGUAAAUCAGGCGCUAAAGAAUUACAGAUUUUGAUUUUGGGAAGUUCUGUGUGUACGUGGACGCUGCAAUUGAGCGCUAGAUAAAGCACCCUGGUACCCUAGAACACUCCCCUGUCUGAAAGCGGCAGGGAUCAAUGUUCAGGGUGGCGCAGUCAACGAUCGCUGUAGGUCCACACGACCGGCGACCGGGGUGGAGGCGAAAGCCCCAGCUGACUCCGUCAUAAAUCGAACAACUGUUAACAAUGGAUAUCUUGGUUCUC